Molecule: ribosomal RNA, 1372 nt
Filed under: Curtobacterium flaccumfaciens
Lineage: Bacteria; Bacillati; Actinomycetota; Actinomycetes; Micrococcales; Microbacteriaceae
Also listed under: 1 other name
Description: partial 16S ribosomal RNA
Rfam family: Bacterial small subunit ribosomal RNA
Source: RNAcentral
GCAGUCGAACGAUGAUGCCCAGCUUGCUGGGUGGAUUAGUGGCGAACGGGUGAGUAACACGUGAGUAACCUGCCCCUGACUCUGGGAUAAGCGUUGGAAACGACGUCUAAUACUGGAUAUGAUCACUGGCCGCAUGGUCUGGUGGUGGAAAGAUUUUUUGGUUGGGGAUGGACUCGCGGCCUAUCAGCUUGUUGGUGAGGUAAUGGCUCACCAAGGCGACGACGGGUAGCCGGCCUGAGAGGGUGACCGGCCACACUGGGACUGAGACACGGCCCAGACUCCUACGGGAGGCAGCAGUGGGGAAUAUUGCACAAUGGGCGAAAGCCUGAUGCAGCAACGCCGCGUGAGGGAUGACGGCCUUCGGGUUGUAAACCUCUUUUAGUAGGGAAGAAGCGAAAGUGACGGUACCUGCAGAAAAAGCACCGGCUAACUACGUGCCAGCAGCCGCGGUAAUACGUAGGGUGCAAGCGUUGUCCGGAAUUAUUGGGCGUAAAGAGCUCGUAGGCGGUUUGUCGCGUCUGCUGUGAAAUCCCGAGGCUCAACCUCGGGCUUGCAGUGGGUACGGGCAGACUAGAGUGCGGUAGGGGAGAUUGGAAUUCCUGGUGUAGCGGUGGAAUGCGCAGAUAUCAGGAGGAACACCGAUGGCGAAGGCAGAUCUCUGGGCCGUAACUGACGCUGAGGAGCGAAAGCAUGGGGAGCGAACAGGAUUAGAUACCCUGGUAGUCCAUGCCGUAAACGUUGGGCGCUAGAUGUAGGGACCUUUCCACGGUUUCUGUGUCGUAGCUAACGCAUUAAGCGCCCCGCCUGGGGAGUACGGCCGCAAGGCUAAAACUCAAAGGAAUUGACGGGGGCCCGCACAAGCGGCGGAGCAUGCGGAUUAAUUCGAUGCAACGCGAAGAACCUUACCAAGGCUUGACAUACACCGGAAACGGCCAGAGAUGGUCGCCCCCUUGUGGUCGGUGUACAGGUGGUGCAUGGUUGUCGUCAGCUCGUGUCGUGAGAUGUUGGGUUAAGUCCCGCAACGAGCGCAACCCUCGUUCUAUGUUGCCAGCGGGUUAUGCCGGGGACUCAUAGGAGACUGCCGGGGUCAACUCGGAGGAAGGUGGGGAUGACGUCAAAUCAUCAUGCCCCUUAUGUCUUGGGCUUCACGCAUGCUACAAUGGCCGGUACAAAGGGCUGCGAUACCGUAAGGUGGAGCGAAUCCCAAAAAGCCGGUCUCAGUUCGGAUUGAGGUCUGCAACUCGACCUCAUGAAGUCGGAGUCGCUAGUAAUCGCAGAUCAGCAACGCUGCGGUGAAUACGUUCCCGGGCCUUGUACACACCGCCCGUCAAGUCAUGAAAGUCGGUAACACCCGAAGCCGGUGGCCUAACCC